CCUANGGGUGGCAGCAGUGGGGAAUUUUGCGCAAUGGGGGAAACCCUGACGCAGCGAUGCCGCGUGGAGGAUGAAGGUCUUCGGAUUGUAAACUCCUUUUGCAGGGGAAAAAUGCUUGCGCGAAGAGCGCAAGUUGAUGGUACUCUGCGAAUAAGCCACGGCUAACUUCGUGCCAGCAGCCGCGGUAAGACGAAGGUGGCGAGCGUUACUCGGAAUUACUAGGCGUAAAGCGUGGGCAGGUGGUUCGGUAAGUCUGUUGUGAAAGCUCCUGGCUUAACUGGGAGAGGCCAAUGGAUACUGCCGGACUUGAAUAUGGGAGAGGUAACUGGAAUUCCUGGUGUAGCGGUGAAAUGCGUAGAUAUCAGGAGGAACACCAAUGGCGAAAGCAGGUUACUGGACCAUUAUUGACACUCAUCCACGAAAGCUAGGGGAUCAAACAGGAUUAGAUACCCUGNUANUC
Molecule: ribosomal RNA, 460 nt
Filed under: uncultured bacterium
Lineage: Bacteria
Description: bacterial SSU rRNA
Rfam family: Bacterial small subunit ribosomal RNA
Source: RNAcentral